UGGCGGACGGGUGAGUAACGCGUGGGUAACCUGCCCCAUACAGGGGGAUAACGGUUAGAAAUGACUGCUAAUACCGCAUAAGCGCACAGUACCGCAUGGUACAGUGUGAAAAACUCCGGUGGUAUGAGAUGGACCCGCGUCUGAUUAGCUAGUUGGUGGGGUAACGGCCCACCAAGGCGACGAUCAGUAGCCGACCUGAGAGGGUGACCGGCCACAUUGGGACUGAGACACGGCCCAG
RNAcentral lists this ribosomal RNA (238 nucleotides) under uncultured bacterium. RNAcentral's name for it is "partial 16S ribosomal RNA". It matches the Rfam family "Bacterial small subunit ribosomal RNA", at positions 96 to 334 of the family's 1533-position model. The record is from RNAcentral.